UUACCGCUACAGUGAUUUGUAGAAGGGUACCUAACUAUGAAGUAACAAUGUCAAAUCUGAUUUUCAAUAGACAUGAUCUAAUUAACCAAUUAAGAUUAGACAUGACUGCUCAAUUUAUCUGUAGUUAUUUCAUGGUAUAAACUUGCUGGUCUUCUGAAAUUAAAUCCCAUUCCAUUUAUUUAGGCUAUUGGACUCCAAGCUUGGCCAUGCUGUCUCUGGCCUCACUUACUGACAUUUAUCUAGAAAUGAACAAAACCAUUUAAGGUUGUGAUGGUGCAGAACAGGGCAACCUACCUGCGAUAUAACCAGUUGAUGCAAAUGCAGCAUGCUGGUGCUGGACAAACUUCCCAGAGAAUUCUGGACUGAAUUCAAAAUCUUGGUCCUGCUCUUCAAAGCCUUUUACAGACUGGGGCUAAGAUCCCCUUGGAACUGCCUUUUCCUCAUCCCUCCAGAUGAAAACCAGCAGGGAUUCAGCCAAAGCUGCUCCAUGCCACUUGGAAGGCAAAACCAGAAAUACACAAGGUCAGCUGUUCAAAAACACUAUUAACUGAACAAUCUUUGCUGCUGUAUCAAAUUUCAUAGAAACCUUACAGCAUUGUGCAACACUUGAGUGAAUGGCCCUGUAAACAUCUUUUCAUAAUUGUUAAAAAAAAAAAAAAGACAAUAGCACAUGCUAGAUUAUCCAAAUAACUCAAAGGCCAUUCAAUUUUUUUAUAUUCAAAGCUUAACCACCUUCCCCACCAUGGAACUUCCAUUCUACUUGAUGCAACACCGCACUCAUAGACCUAUCUAGUAAUUGGUUCUCAUUCUCUCCACUUUCCGCCUGUAAGAGAAAGAUCUUUCACCCCAAUCAUCUCAUUGCCUUAAUACUCAAAUAUUUCAUCUACAGACAAGAGAAAGGGCUCUGUCGAUCACUGAAGACCCAUGAAUAUCAUAGUGAUGGACAGUUCUGAACCUAUUCUCUGCCCAAGCCAGACUGGACCAGCUCAUUAGUGGGAUAAGUCUGGUUAAGAUGAGCAGGGAAAUAAUUAACUGUUAGCAAAAGGAGAUUAUUAUUUGGAUUUAGAGAAGCACUCAUGAUUGAUAAUCUUUAUGGGUGGGGAAAAUAUUUUUGUCCCUUUUGCUUCUUUGUAACGUAUAUACAGGGUUGAAAGCUUUUCUUUGGUUUUCUGCUGAUUUUUCACCUUAGAAAUAUCACAGCUGCCAGACUGACCUUCCCAGUUUUGGUUAAAGGUUUCCUUGAAGGAUCAGAGAAAUGGGGAGGAGGGGGUGGGGGGAGAGAGAGAGGGGAGGCUUUCUCAGCACUUGAUGGGUGGGGAGGCGCAUUAAACCUUUGAGCUGUUUAACUCCUUAACAAACAAACAAACAAAACAAACAAACCUCCAAAGCUUUGAAACAAUUUCACUACAAAAUCGCUUUCCCCACAGGUUUCACUUCCUUGGUACCUGUGAAGCCACCACCUUUCCUAGCUUGUCCUUAAGGGUAUGUCUACAUUUCAACGUAAGCCUAGGGUUAGUGGGACUCAAGUCAGCUAGCUGACCCAUGUUAGGGAACCCUGGGCUUCAGCAUCUACACUCUAUUGUAACUUUAGGUAAAGAAUUUUCUGACCCAUGUUCAGAGCUCGGGUUCUGGUGUCCACACGAUAGUGCACAGACCUGAGUCAAAGUAACCAUAGCCCAGAGUCCCUCUCAGUGCUGCCCCCUGCCCACCAAUGUGGCUUCUCUAGCUUAUGGUGCAGUGGGAAAACUUGACUGCCCACCCUGCAAAAUACCAGGAAACAGCUCACUUUGCAAAAGGCUUGAUCAAUUUGCUCACCAUUGCAAACACAGGAGGCUCUGUUGUAAGUGUGCUUGCACAUCAGUGAUUGGAACAGAAGAGGUGAACGCGGACCUGAGCUGCUGCCGUUUGGCAAGCGUUUCAAUAGAGUGGAUUGCAGAUUGUUGGGAGAUAGAGGACUAAGGAAGUUGUCCCAUGGAACUGUGGAAUACUUCCAGGUGACUCCUGUGACCCAAGUGAAGGACUGCAGCUACACUACAAAGCAAUAGGGCUUACUCUGGGUCCCAGCUUGACUCGAGCUCAGACCCUCCAGAGUCCUGGGACCCUGGAUUUGAGCCCUGGGCUAGCACAGUUGCAGCGUAGAUGCAAGGGGGAGUUAGGCUCAAAUGUGGGCUUACCUUGCAAUGUAGAUACCCUACAGGUCUUCAAAGACUAAACAGUAGACAGAGCUGAAUGUGUAGUGCAAGAGUCAAGCUGAACUGCACCAUCCAAAACUUUUAAAAAAAUAUUAUAUAUUCAUCCUCUCUUUACAUACACAUCAUGAAGUUUAAUAUGGAACAAACAAUUGCACAGGCUACCUUAAGGUAAACAGUGGUUCCUAGUCUUAAGCUCGUGUGCUGUACAGAAAGAGGAGGAAGCUAAUACAAUACUGCUGAUAAAAAGAUAAAAUGUCAUGGGUAAAAGUUUCCAAACACAUCUAUUUUCAAAAGCAACUUAGGCACUUGGGAAACUAAGUCUCCUUGAAAGUCAAUGGGAGUUAGGAGCCUAUGUCACUUAGGUGUUUUUGAAAAUUCUACCCCGAUCUACCCCAAACAGGGAAAAAGACCAUGGAAACUAUCAGCACCUUUCCAUAAAGGCAGAUCUAUAUGGUUCUGGCUCACACAUGUUCCUUGUAGCAGCCACAGUGUCUUGUGGCUUAUAGAACCUCUGUUUUUGCUGUCAGAACUAUUUUUGCAAUCAGAAGCAUUAGAAGCUUAGUUUCAAAAUUAAGUCUUAAAUUCUAGGCUCUUUGGGGCAACAAUUGGGUCUACUUCUGUGUUUGUAGAGCACUCAGCACAAGGAGACUCAGCUCUGGCUGGGAUCUCUCAGUACUAUCAUAAUAAAAAUAAAUUUUGGAAGAUACAAGAAAAUCCAUGGGGAAGAAUGUAAAUCCUCAGAAUACAUGUGACUGUUCCAACCUAUAAAUCACGAUACAGGGCUCUGAAGGAACUAGCUUUGAGGUGGAAGAGAAGUCACGUCACUAUCUUUAAUAAGAUGACUAAAUUACACUAAUCUGUAUUCAGUCUAGUAAGUAGUAACUAUUUGGAAAAUUCAGGAGGAAGUAGGGUUUACAACACAUUUCUUAAUUUGUGCAAGUGAUUGAGAGACUCGUUGAAUAUCUGCAUUUUGGGGGUGAAAGUCACCCUUAGGCACAGGACGAGCACAAAGAGCUACACAGCACUUAAGUCCAAGUCCUCAAGUGGUGAAUAAGCCAUUUGCUGGCCAUCUGCACAGGGGUGACUACUUUCACCACAUUUUGAAUUACUGACACCAACAGAUGAAAGAAUACGUUCAAGGGUCUGAAUCUGUGAGGGGCUCAAGGCUCUCUGCUCCCAUUGACAAACAGGAGUUGAAGGUGCUCAGCCUUUACAGUCAGGCCCCAACUAUACUUUGUAAUUUUUAAAAAUUUACUGUACUAGUAAAUUAUAUCUAAUUUUUAUUUAAAUAAAAUAAAUCUUGCAGCACAAGAGCUCACUAUAGCAAUCUUUGCUAUUAAAUCUUUGCCAAGAAGUGGGGAUUUUUUUGGUCUAAGUUAUUGUGUGUGGAUUAGCAAGGCUAUUGUACCUGCAAAGAAAAGUGGAAAAACUUGGAGAUUCUGGGUCAGGUUCUCAAACUGGCACGAGCUGGUAAAGUACCAUUGACUUCCAUCUUAUUACACCAGUUUGCGCCAACUGAGGAUCUGGCUCUAUUUUACUAAAUUUAUACUUGGAUCUCGAAACAACCCAUCCAUCCACAGUUGCCUGCUGAAGUGCAUCCUUAUCAACUAAGUUUCACAAAUUUAUGAUAACGGAGUAAAAAGGGAUCACCACUUGACGAUCGCAACCAAAAAGAAAGUGUGAGCCAAAUCGUGCACCUGGUGCAGGGGACUGUGUGUGAGGCUCUAAGUGUAGGCGAUGUGCAUUUUUGGUUAAAGAGUUAAACAGAGCAGGACUGAAUGUGCUAUUCAAACAUGUAUUCGUUUAAAACAAUAUUAAUACAUUUGCUCAGAAUUCUUUCUAGACCUUUUGAGAACAUAGCUCAGUAUUUUCAAAAUGUACAUAAAACUUUCAAAAAACAAUACUGAUUAAAAAAAGAUGAUCGAUGGUACCUAAAAAAAAAUACCCAAAAUUUCAAACUGUCUCCUGUCUAGCAUUACAAUAAGUAAGAAUUCCUCCUGAAAAUUAUUUUCACUAAACAUGGGUCCUGAAAUUGAAGUAAUUAGAAACACUAUGAAUGUGAAAAUACCACCAAUUUUCUGCAGUUUAAAAAAAAUCAGAACGUUCUUUGGAAUCACCGAGUUAUCAAAAAUUUGGAUUUUUCUACAGUCUCUGCACCUUCUUUUCAAACCAGUCUGUUUGUGUACAGAUUUCAAGUCUUUGAGCAGUUUAAUAUCCACUGUUGGAAAACAGUCUCUGACCAGCAGGAGGCUACAUUAAAGAAAUAUUGGCAUACUUUAUUCAUGACUUCUGCCAAAGAUAAGGACUUUAGAGCAUCAGACAUAAUGUCCCUCUUUUAGGAGAUUUUAUGUACUUCAUGUGUAUAUUUCCAGUGCAAAUUCUUUUUCAGCACUUGUGAUAAGUGAGAAAGACAGAAACAAAGAAAG
Long non-coding RNA from Dermochelys coriacea (leatherback sea turtle), 4618 nucleotides. RefSeq lists it as uncharacterized. The transcript has 2 exons. NCBI's taxonomy places the organism in Eukaryota, Metazoa, Chordata, Testudines, Dermochelyidae. The record is from RefSeq and is a predicted model, not a curated record.